ACGAGCUUGAGAGAGGAAGUGCAAUUAUUGCUGUUUGUAAAAUGCACUCUGUUGUAUUAUAGAUAUAUGCAUUUGUUCUGUCAUUCAGUUUUGGGUCAUUCUACAGAAACGUCCACUUUUGGUAUGGCAAAAUGUCUUAAAAAUGUCUUCUUUUUUACAUUUAAACUUAGACCACAUUAUUAGAUUACCUUUUGACUUUAUGAAUACAUAUAAAUGACAGCUUAAUUAUAUAUGUUUUAGCUUUUUUGUGCAAUUAUUUCAAGACCCUGUGUAUCAUUUUUUGUCACUGGUGUUACCUUCUUUAGCAAUAUUAAAAGUUUUUAUGAAAUAUUAUUUCUAAAAAAAAAAUUUCAGCACAUAUAGUCAGAGUUACAGAAAAAUAAUGAAAAUGCAAGAAAUAAUGAGAUUAUGUUUUAUUUAUUUAAUGUGACAGACAAAAACAGUACAGUAACACAGCACAGUGACAGUAACACCAGUGACAUACAUUAGACCUGAUAUACUCAUCGUCACUGGUGUUAUCCGUAAGAAAGGUAACACCAGUGACAAUUUUCAUGAAAAAUGCAUUUUACAAAAUGUCUGCUGCAAGGUAUCAAGCCACAUGUUGUCAAUCAUGGUAUACUCACUAAAUUAAGUAGUUUAAUCCAUUUGUAUUAUAGUUUUUUUUACAUUUCCCUAACAAUAAAUAGGUCACACCAGUGACAUCAACUAAAAGCUUCAUAUGAAAUCAUGAGAUAAAUGAGAAAAUUUAUCAUAACUGAAAAGAAGCAGUGGACUAAACAUGGGCCUUUUUUCAUAGAUGUUUAGAAAAUAGGAAGGAGGAAGUCAAGUGAUGUCAUCAGUGUGAUUUUUUAUUCCAAAAUAAAAGACUUUUGUUCAGCGGUAAAACCAGUGACUCCAGGGGACCACUGUUUUCAUUAUAUAUUUUAUAAUAUUUAUUUGGCAUUUUGUUUUAUUAUGCCAUUUAUAUCAUAUAUUUGAUAGUUAUGAAUAGACUUUUGUUUUUUAAAUGGUAGAAAGUCCUGUUUUUGACCUCAAAAUAAAGCACUUUCCUGCUGUACAUGGCUGUGGGGACGAGCAGUUUUGUGGUGCUUGGAAUUCUAUAUAAUUAAUAAAAAAAUAAUAAUGCCACAUUGAUGGCUCAGGAAGGUGUAAUUGUUCAAAUAACAUAUUGUUUCAUUUUUAAAUAUAUAAAAACUUGUAACCCUAAUGUGUAUUUCAAUUGUAAUAUUUCUUUAAAGUCUAGGGACAGAAAAGUGGAUGUUUCUGUAGAAUGACCCUUUUGUGUUUUGCAAUGUGUGGGUUUUGAAUCAGUUAAAAAGUUUUGUUUAGCAUUAUUUAUGAUACAAGCAGAUAUUCACCAGACACUUGACAUUAAGAUUGUGUUUUUCUUUUUCUUCUUGUGAUCUGUUGGCUCGAAAUUCACAAAACAGUUAUACAGAUAUAAUCUUUAAUGAGAUAUGUACACAGUAAAAUCAGCAGUGUAAUAUUUGCAGGGUUAAAAGUUAUUAAUUCCCAAAGAGUUGAAUUAACAAUCUACAGUGUUAAACAGUACUCGUGUUCAGUGUUGUCACACGGUGUAAUAUUUAUGUAAUUUCACUUUUACACUGAAAGUGUAAAAAAAACCCCGCCGAAUUGAUCUGCCUGCCCCUCAGGCACCGCGGCCUCGCAGAGCGACGACGCCAUUUUAUCUUCAUGAGACCGAGGGGGUUUACAGUGUUAUGUUCGUGAGGUGCAGAGAUGCAACGUUAGCCUACAGAAGAGUGAAAGUUUCUCAGACCGUUUUCAUUUCCUGAAAUAAGAUCCUCUCUCCUUCAUUCCCGCCGAGGCCUGGUUUUACUUCGAGUCUGAAGCAGCCACAUUUGGGCGGUUUUCUACUCAGAGGAGAGAAUUCAUCAAAUGAAUUGCCCCAGACGUCUGCAGUGUCAAGUGAAGGAAGCUCCUCCCAUAAGAUUGCAGACUGGGAGUCUGAUGACACUGAGUGUGAGUGAUGGAAGCCCUUCAAGAAAGGAGCAGAAUGCUGAAGAUGAAGCCAGAAUUAACCACACACACACCUAUAUUAUAAAGUCAACUGAAAGAUUGUUUGCCCAUGCCUACUUCAACUGUUCAUUAAAAACCCUCAAUUCAGCAAUUGGUCUGGUUCCUGUGUCCUGACCGACACCUGGGAGUGAUUACCACACAAAUACGACCCGGCAUUAGAACUUAAAUACAGUCCUUCUAAGCCUCACUAACAAUAGGUCCUUCGAGCCAGAUACGUGUAAUUUUCUCUUAAGAAGAUGGAUGAUAGAUCCUCGACCAGACCUAAACGUCAGACCCUUCCUCCACGUCAUUAUGAAGAGUAUGAAAUGGGUUUUACGCUGCCACAAAGACAGUUAUCUGAAUCAACAAUCAGUAGGCAUGGGCAAGAAGAGGAGUUGUGUUCACAGGAAGAAGGAGCUGCCAUGAUAACACCCCCCAUUUUCAGCCGUCGUCAGUCAUUGAGGGACACUGACUGUACAGAGGAACGGUACAUUGCAGCAGGACAAUACAGCCAAAGACCCGGUUCUGAAUUCCAGCUGACCCAUCAGUACAUCGAGAGAGCACAGGCUGAAAGAAGCAAAUUAUCCACUCCAAGUAGUUGGUCUUCAGUACAGUACAAUCCUCCUCCAGCUCCCCAGAAAGAUCUUCAGUAAAGUAGAGAUGAGCGCCACAUUAGCUGAAAUCCGAGAGACCAGAUCUGAGUUAAGACUUCUAGCAGAGACAGUGCGCAGCCUAAAGCAGACUCCUCUUCCAGCUACAGUGUGCUCUCAGUCUAAUACAUUGGAUCCACGUAAGUCUGAUCAAUUACCAGCACUCCUUUAGACCAUGGGUGUAUACCUCCACCCUGUGAAAAGCUGAUCACUAAUGUGCAGGAUGAUGAGCAUGAUAAUGCAGACUGGCCUGAUCCCCCUCCAUGGCCAGAGACAGGAGACCCACAACCUCAGUCCGUCAGUAGCGAGCCCAUUGUCGACCUUCUGGACAAGAUGAUGAGUGAGCUUCAAGUUCUAAAACAAGCAGCUGUUAGUAAGAGUAAACCUCUUGUUGCACUGCUCUCGAACCCUCAUUACGGCAGGAUAACAAUUUCUUCUGCAUUCCACCCUGUGGGGCAGACGGCCAAUCAGCUUGAGAAUAAACACCCACAUGACACGCAGGAAGAGUCAGCCGCCCUGGGCAACUUCCUGCUUUAUUUCAUCCCAGCGUCCUGCUAGCUGAAGCCUUGAGGAACAGGGUCACGGCCGGAACCACACACACACCUAUAUUAUAAAGUCAACUGAAAGAUUGUUUGCCCAUGCCUACUUCAACUGUUCAUUAAAAACCCUCAAUUCAGCAAUUGGUCUGGUUCCUGUGUCCUGACCGACACCUGGGAGUGAUUACCACACAAAUACGACCCGGCAUUAGAACUUAAAUACAGUCCUUCUAAGCCUCACUAACAUGUGUCUUGUGCUUGUUCACUUGUGCAUCACCCAAGAUGCAUGCUAAUGCCAGGUGUGAACACAGCCACUGUGUGACUACACAAUCAGUUUAGCAGAAUGGUUCCUGAGAGAGAUAUUGUCAUUAUUUUUAUUUAUUUAUUUAUUUUCCAAGAAGCCAAGUUCCUGGCUUUUCCCAAGACCUUCAAGGACACGCUUGACCUCGGAAUCAGCUGUAAAGGAGGAUGAAACUAAGAAUGGGACAGCGAUAUUGCAUCAAUUUGUCUCCUUCAUUUGAUUCCACCACCACAAGGCUGCAAGGGACCUGGAGAAAUGUCCUCCUAUCAAGCUGAAAAACAUCUUCAAAAAGGCACUAAUAAGAAGAAUACCCUGUAGAGACCACACAGCCAUACCUGCUCGCUGAUGGGACAACGAGGAACAUCAUUCAUGGAUGCUACACAACUGUCGACAAGUAUCUUGCUGCAGUCUUGUUUAAAUCUACCUGUCAUAUUUGUUAAUGUCUAGGUAAAUUUAAUGAUUUUAUGUGUUUUAUUAACUAUUUUAUGUUUCCGUGCAACACUUAAUGAAUGUGACUAAUUAACCUCUACACAUCUGGUAUGUGCUUUAAAGUUGCCACUUUGCCCAUUUGUUAAAUAAA
Long non-coding RNA from Onychostoma macrolepis, 4083 nucleotides. RefSeq lists it as uncharacterized. The record is from RefSeq and is a predicted model, not a curated record. The transcript has 7 exons. NCBI's taxonomy places the organism in Eukaryota, Metazoa, Chordata, Actinopteri, Cypriniformes, Cyprinidae.